This 4534-nucleotide long non-coding RNA is filed under the name Sus scrofa (pig). RNAcentral's name for it is "lncRNA (ENSSSCG00030031287.1)". The record is from RNAcentral. Lineage: Eukaryota; Metazoa; Chordata; Mammalia; Artiodactyla; Suidae.
GAUUUGUUGCCAGUGCACCACAACGGGAACUCCUGGUCUCAGCUUUUCUGCUCCUUACCUAAUUUCUCCUCCUCUCCCAAACCUUUAAUGUUCAAGUGACCCAGGGCUCUUUUCUAUCCCCAUCCCCUUCCCCAUUAUUCUCACUGAAUCCUAGGGCUCCCCAAACCUAUCCAGUCACUGAUGAUUCCUUUCCUGAACUCCAGACUCCUGUUUCCAACUCCUAGUCAGUGUAUCUCCUUGGUUAGGACAUCUCCACCUCAGCAUAUUCCAAAUAACACUCCUGAUCUGGUCCCCAACAAACUUGUUCCGUUCCCAGGUUUACCCAUCUUGGUAAAUUAGAGACUUAUCUUUCUAAUUGCUUAGGCCAAAAACUUGAGUCAUCCUUGACAAUUUACUUUCUCUUGUACCUCACCUGAUCUGUUAGCAAAUCCUGUGGAAUCUCUGAAAUAUACCCAGAAUCUGUACCUUUCUUCACACAUUUGCUGCUGUCGCACCAAUCCAAGCCACUGUUCUCUCUCACUUUGCUUCCCUAGAGGGUAUUCUCUGCACAGUAAUCUGAGUGAUCCCAUCAGAUAAUAUUACUUCUUACCUCAAACCCUCCAGCAGCUCCCAUCUUAUCCUGGGUAAAAGCCAAAGUCCUUAUAAUAAUGAUCUCUACGGCCCUGCACAUCUGGCCACAUGCUGCCUUUUCAACAUCGAACACUAAACUCACUAUUCCAGUAGUUCUCCAGACAUGAAGCAGCCCCAGGACCUUUUCACCUGCUGUUCUGUCUGUGGAGUACUCUUCCUCUAAAAGUCACUCCUCACCUCCUUCAAGAGUUUGCUCAAAUGUCACCUCAGUGAAGCCUACCCUAUAUCCUGUCCAAAAUUGCGAAACAUUUCUCCCCAUAGCACUUUCAUCAUCUAACAUACAUGGUGCUAACCAAGGGUGAGGGAACUCUAGAAUGGACAGUAGAAGACAGAGACCUGUAUCAUUUGCUGCCUCCAGAUCAGCUGCUGUGCUGGGGGCUGUGGCUUGUACCACAUCCAGCGCUGCAGCUGCCGUGGGCACUGCAGGUUGAUGGAGCUUGGGAUACUCUGCUGACAUGCUCCAGGAUCUAAUUUUUAGAGGCCAGACUGAUGAAUUAAAUGGGAAUUGAUCUUCUUCCUUUAGGUCUUUUAAGGUACUAUUUUCUGCUUUUUGCCUCAGGAUAUUUAAAAUUUGCAGUCUUGCUCAGAGGAGAAAUGUAUGGGCAGUUUCAGAGGCUCUCACUGGUCCGUCCCUACUUUUUAUUCACAGGCCAAGGGACCAAUGUGGAUAUGUGGGUGUUCUGGCAACUUGCAAGUAUUAUCUCUUUCAAUUACACAUUCAGGGACUGGGGACAUAACCACAGGGUUAGUCUCUGGACCAAGCGGACCUACUGAAGUAGGCCUGGGCUAGAAGUCCAUCUCUUACCUGGCUGUCAUCCAUAUUCACUCUACUAGGGACCAUGAUUUAUAUCACGCUGGAUAUCAUUGUCAUCUCAGACCUUGUGUUCAGCAGUUGUCAAAAUACUGGACUAUUUCCUUUCCCCAGGGUAUAGGUUACCCAAGUAAAUAUCUGCCAGUCCCUUUGUAGAAGGACUGGGGUAUCCUUGUCAUAUAGGCUUGCCAAGGUGUUGCAGGGUGCAUCUUCCUGAGGCUCUGGCCUUUCCUUCAGUUAGUGGGUUCCAAGUCUAAAGAUUAGUUUAGGUCCAGAAGCUCAUCAAAGAAUGCUGACUUUUUAUUGGCACAACUGCCGUUAGUCUCUUCACGAUCCUUCCUCUUGAUCCGUGCAUCAGAAUCACUCAGAAGGCUGUGUUAAACUACAGAUUGCUCAUCCACUCAGCCAGAGUUUCUGAGUAGGUCUGGGCUGGGGCCUGAGAAUUGGUGCCUCUCACAAUUUUCCAGAUGAUGCUGAUGCUGCUGGUCAGAGACCACACUUUGAAAACACUGUACAGAUCAAUCUGGGGACUCCCCAUGAGCUCCAGCCAUUUUCCCAACCUUCUGUGCUUCAGUCACCCCCUGCUGCUCUAACCUGCUGUUCAGUGAGCAGUUUGCCCCCACCUUGCUUCGGACAGUUAAACAUUGUCACCUGGCCUCUAGGGCUCUAGGAUCUUCCCUCUCCGUGUGAAUCAAUCGUUGGAUGUAGGCUGCCCCCAGGGAGAGGACCUGUCCUUGUGCCAGGGCUCUGGGCAAUGGGGACUGGCCGGGAGCUCUCAGCUGUCAGCACUAAACAACUGGGAAAAUUGGGUGUAUGGGGCUUGAAGGGAAAAUGUGGGUGGUGCUUUUCUGACCCUACCAUGAAUCUACCAGCAUCAGCCUCACAGCCAGGACUGGGGUGACAGGAGUGAGAUUUGCCUCAGGUACAAAAUUUAAGGGGACACCAAAAGAUUAAAUAAUCAAGGUAAACAUUUUGAAGCCACAUUUCAAAAAGCAAAAUGCAAAAAAAUUCCAUGAUAAGCAAAAUUUCAGAUUUUUAAAUAAAGGCAGGAUCAGUGUUAUGGAUCUUUCUGUUUCCCUUGCAAUCUGUCUACACCCACUGGAAGUUAAGUUCUGAGAGGGCCAGGGUUUCUGUUUGCCUUACUCACUGAUGUACCCCCAAUUCUUAGAGGAGUUCCUGGCACAUACUAGAUGCUCAGUUAAUCUUUGUUGAAUGAGACAUUUAAGACCUGUAAGGGAAGCAUGACCAUUUGUCUACACUUGCCCAUUUCUCCCUCUUCUCCCAGUAUUUCUCAGUUAGUACCGACUAGACAAAAGAGGCUUCUUCAUCUUGGAGCCAGGAGAAUUGGAGGGAGCUUUGUGCCAUGGAGGGAAAGCACCUGACAAAAAUAGCACAUAUUUUAUUGUUAAUGUCAAUUGUGAAGUGUGUUUAAAAGUAUUUCUUUAGUGAUUUCAUCAUCAGAUUUAAAGGAUAGAUGCAAUGCAUGUCAUUAUACUAACUAACCACAGCUAUUAGUUGUCAUCUUGUAUAAUUAUGAGAAACAGCUGUCAGAACUGCUCCUAAAAAGCUGCCCUGCCCCCAAGGAUUAGAUGGAUUUAGGAUUCCAGGACCAAAAGCAGAAGAGCAGAUCUUCAUGCAAGUGGCAAGUGUCAUGGUCAGCAGGUUCCUGUCCUCCCCUGCUUUUUAUCUCCAUGAGACAUCUGAUUAUUCCACCAGGAGCACCAAGGUUUAUGUUUCAACCAGGAAUGGCUGAAAUGGCAGACCUUUUGCACAUGACACUGGAAGAAGAUGUGACCAGAACUGCAGGGCACUAGCUCUGCUAAGAACCCUGAUUGACCAGGAAGAAAAAAAAUUAAGUCUGAAUCAUGUCCCUCAAGAGCUUGGCACACACGUGAUUUCAAUACAGUCCGUGUUCUGGAGGAAAGACGGGACUCUUGGAGCUUCAGUAAGGAACACAAAGGCCUUUGACUGCAAGGAACUCAGUCUACUGGGAGAGAUGGAUACAUCAACAGAAUCAUCGAAAUGCCUUUCCUUUAAAGCAAAGACCAUUCAGAAUCAAAGGCUCAUUUCCUGGAAAUACAGGGCUGGACGGCAGCCAUCCCUCAAAUGAGGCCCCAUGGAGAAGACUUGGAAAUGCACGCUCCCAACUCAGGUUUCCAGUGGAUGCAUAUUAAACCCCAAGGACUGGAAGCUGAGGUCAUGGAUUGCUUUCUCAUUGCUGUCAAGGGUCAGUUCAUCUUAUACUUCCUGUCAUUGUCGUCUUAGAUCAUGCAUGACUCAAUCCUUCUCAGCCCAUUUCCGCACACAGAUUUCUAAAUCUGUGGUGAAAAAAAGUCCAUUAAUAUCUCUACAUUCAAAAAGAGAUGCUAAUGAGAAGAGGGAGGAGGACCCGCUAUGGAUUGGUAGUAAUAGGGGUCAAAUAAAAUAGGGCAGCAAAUCAGGAAAUGGGGUAGUAGCAGUCAUUUGAGGAAGUUAAGCAGACUGGCCAACAUCCACUUAAACGAUUUCUGUUUUCCCUUGAAACUUCAUUUGUGUAACUGAGGUGGCAGAGGGUUGUGGGGGGAGGAACAUGAGCUUUGCUACCAGAUUAAUACAAAUGGAAAUCCUUCCUCCAUUACCAGGCUCUGUGAAUUGGACAAGUUUCUUAACCCUUCUCAGCCUCAGGUCAGGGAGCAUUCCAAACUUUCAAAACUGUGGCAAGAAGCCCAGAUCACGGAUUGAGAAGUGGUUGGUACACAGAGGCACCCACUACACUGAAGAACUCAGAGUGCGCCCAGCCAUGCACUGGCCUGGUACUCACUUCGAUGGGGGCAAGGAAGGAGUCAAGACAGCCAGGAGGCUAGCAGGACCCCGGCGAGAGCAACAUUAAACUCUCAUUAGCUACUUAAUUUGAUUUUGUUGUCCUUAUCAUACCUUCACUAUCAUUUCCCCCAGCUUCAGGUCAAAUGAUGACCCAAAGAGAUGACCAGAUAAAAUAAUGUCAAUAAUUGUGAGGAGUUCCUGCUGUGAUGCAGCAGGUUAAGAUCUGGUGUUGCCGUAGCAGCAGCUCAGAUUCAGUCCCUGGCCCUGGAACUUCCAUACCAAAAAAAAAAA